RNAcentral lists this ribosomal RNA (113 nucleotides) under Periophthalmus magnuspinnatus. Lineage: Eukaryota; Metazoa; Chordata; Actinopteri; Gobiiformes; Gobiidae. The record is from RNAcentral.
UACAGUGGCCAAACCUCCUUUUCAAAGUCUCGUUAGAUCUCAGAAGCUAAGCAGGGCUGGGCCUGGUUAGUACUUGGAUGGGAGACCACUGGGAAUACCAGGUGCCACAGUGG